UUAAGCGACUAAGCGUACACGGUGGAUGCCCUGGCAGUCAGAGGCGAUGAAGGACGUGCUAAUCUGCGAAAAGCGUCGGUAAGGUGAUAUGAACCGUUAUAACCGGCGAUGUCCGAAUGGGGAAACCCAGUGCAAUUCGUUGCACUAUCGUUAACUGAAUACAUAGGUUAACGAGGCGAACCGGGGGAACUGAAACAUCUAAGUACCCCGAGGAAAAGAAAUCAACCGAGAUUCCCCCAGUAGCGGCGAGCGAACGGGGAGCAGCCCAGAGUCUGAAUCAGCUUGUGUGUUAGUGGAACGGUCUGGAAAGUCCGACGGUACAGGGUGAUAGUCCCGUACACCAAAAUGCACAGGUUGUGAACUCGAAGAGUAGGGCGGGACACGUGGUAUCCUGUCUGAAUAUGGGGGGACCAUCCUCCAAGGCUAAAUACUCCUGACUGACCGAUAGUGAACCAGUACCGUGAGGGAAAGGCGAAAAGAACCCCGGCGAGGGGAGUGAAAAAGAACCUGAAACCGUGUACGUACAAGCAGUGGGAGCACCUUCGGGUGUGACUGCGUACCUUUUGUAUAAUGGGUCAGCGACUUAUAUUCUGUAGCAAGGUUAACCGUAUAGGGGAGCCGCAGGGAAACCGAGUCUUAACUGGGCGUUAAGUUGCAGGGUAUAGACCCGAAACCCGGUGAUCUAGCCAUGGGCAGGUUGAAGGUUGGGUAACACUAACUGGAGGACCGAACCGACUAAUGUUGAAAAAUUAGCGGAUGACUUGUGGCUGGGGGUGAAAGGCCAAUCAAACCGGGAGAUAGCUGGUUCUCCCCGAAAGCUAUUUAGGUAGCGCCUCGUGAACUCAUCUUCGGGGGUAGAGCACUGUUUCGGCUAGGGGGUCAUCCCGACUUACCAACCCGAUGCAAACUACGAAUACCGAAGAAUGUUAUCACGGGAGACACACGGCGGGUGCUAACGUCCGUCGUGAAGAGGGAAACAACCCAGACCGCCAGCUAAGGUCCCAAAGUCAUGGUUAAGUGGGAAACGAUGUGGGAAGGCACAGACAGCCAGGAUGUUGGCUUAGAAGCAGCCAUCAUUUAAAGAAAGCGUAAUAGCUCACUGGUCGAGUCGGCCUGCGCGGAAGAUGUAACGGGGCUAAACCAUGCACCGAAGCUGCGGCAGCGACGCUUAUGCGUUGUUGGGUAGGGGAGCGUUCUGUAAGCCUGCGAAGGUGACCUGUGAGGGUUGCUGGAGGUAUCAGAAGUGCGAAUGCUGACAUAAGUAACGAUAAAGCGGGUGAAAAGCCCGCUCGCCGGAAGACCAAGGGUUCCUGUCCAACGUUAAUCGGGGCAGGGUGAGUCGACCCCUAAGGCGAGGCCGAAAGGCGUAGUCGAUGGGAAACAGGUUAAUAUUCCUGUACUUGGUGUUACUGCGAAGGGGGGACGGAGAAGGCUAUGUUAGCCGGGCGACGGUUGUCCCGGUUUAAGCAUGUAGGCGGAGGUUCCAGGUAAAUCCGGUACCUUUUAACGCUGAGGUGUGAUGACGAGGCACUACGGUGCUGAAGUAACAAAUGCCCUGCUUCCAGGAAAAGCCUCUAAGCAUCAGGUAACAUUAAAUCGUACCCCAAACCGACACAGGUGGUCAGGUAGAGAAUACCAAGGCGCUUGAGAGAACUCGGGUGAAGGAACUAGGCAAAAUGGUGCCGUAACUUCGGGAGAAGGCACGCUGGUGUGUAGGUGAAGUCCCUGCGGAUGGAGCUGAGACCAGUCGAAGAUACCAGCUGGCUGCAACUGUUUAUUAAAAACACAGCACUGUGCAAACACGAAAGUGGACGUAUACGGUGUGACGCCUGCCCGGUGCCGGAAGGUUAAUUGAUGGGGUUAUCCGUAAGGAGAAGCUCUUGAUCGAAGCCCCGGUAAACGGCGGCCGUAACUAUAACGGUCCUAAGGUAGCGAAAUUCCUUGUCGGGUAAGUUCCGACCUGCACGAAUGGCGUAAUGAUGGCCAGGCUGUCUCCACCCGAGACUCAGUGAAAUUGAACUCGCUGUGAAGAUGCAGUGUACCCGCGGCAAGACGGAAAGACCCCGUGAACCUUUACUAUAGCUUGACACUGAACAUUGAGCCUUGAUGUGUAGGAUAGGUGGGAGGCUUUGAAGCGUGGACGCCAGUCUGCGUGGAGCCAACCUUGAAAUACCACCCUUUAAUGUUUGAUGUUCUAACGUUGGCCCGUAAUCCGGGUUGCGGACAGUGUCUGGUGGGUAGUUUGACUGGGGCGGUCUCCUCCCAAAGAGUAACGGAGGAGCACGAAGGUUAGCUAAUCCUGGUCGGACAUCAGGAGGUUAGUGCAAUGGCAUAAGCUAGCUUGACUGCGAGCGUGACGGCGCGAGCAGGUGCGAAAGCAGGUCAUAGUGAUCCGGUGGUUCUGAAUGGAAGGGCCAUCGCUCAACGGAUAAAAGGUACUCCGGGGAUAACAGGCUGAUACCGCCCAAGAGUUCAUAUCGACGGCGGUGUUUGGCACCUCGAUGUCGGCUCAUCACAUCCUGGGGCUGAAGUAGGUCCCAAGGGUAUGGCUGUUCGCCAUUUAAAGUGGUACGCGAGCUGGGUUUAGAACGUCGUGAGACAGUUCGGUCCCUAUCUGCCGUGGGCGCUGGAGAAUUGAGGGGGGCUGCUCCUAGUACGAGAGGACCGGAGUGGACGCAUCACUGGUGUUCGGGUUGUCAUGCCAAUGGCACUGCCCGGUAGCUAAAUGCGGAAGAGAUAAGUGCUGAAAGCAUCUAAGCACGAAACUUGCCCCGAGAUGAGUUCUCCCUGAGACUUUAAGUCUCCUGAAGGAACGUUGAAGACGACGACGUUGAUAGGCCGGGUGUGUAAGCGCAGCGAUGCGUUGAGCUAACCGGUACUAAUGAACCGUGAGGCUUAACCUU
RNAcentral lists this ribosomal RNA (2903 nucleotides) under Klebsiella variicola. RNAcentral describes it as "bacterial LSU rRNA". It matches the Rfam family "Bacterial large subunit ribosomal RNA". Lineage: Bacteria; Pseudomonadati; Pseudomonadota; Gammaproteobacteria; Enterobacterales; Enterobacteriaceae. The record is from RNAcentral.